RNAcentral lists this ribosomal RNA (477 nucleotides) under uncultured bacterium. RNAcentral describes it as "partial 16S ribosomal RNA". It matches the Rfam family "Bacterial small subunit ribosomal RNA", at positions 28 to 507 of the family's 1533-position model. The record is from RNAcentral.
GAUGAACGCUGGCGGCGUGCCUAACACAUGCAAGUCGAACGAGAUGCGUAUUGGAAAGCUUCGGCCGGAAGAUGCGUUAUCUAGUGGCGGACGGGUGAGUAACACGUUGGUAACCUGCCUUAUGGAGGGGGAUAACAGAGAGAAAUCACUGCUAAUACCGCAUAAGCACACAUUGCCGCAUGGCAGAGUGUGAAAAGAUUUAUCGCCAUAAGAUGGACCCGCUUCUGAUUAGCCAGUUGGCAGGGUAAAAGCCUACCAAAGCAACGAUAAGUAGCCGAUCUGAGAGGAUGACCGGCGACAUUGGGACUGAGACACGGACCAAUCUCCUACGGGAGGCAGCAGUGGGGAAUAUUGCACAAUGGGGGAAACCCUGAUGCAGCGACGCCGCGUGAGUGAAGAAGUAUUUCGGUAUGUAAAGCUCUAUCAGCAGGGAAGAUAAUGACAGUACCUGACUAAGAAGCACCGGCUAACUACGUG